This 567-nucleotide ribosomal RNA is filed under the name uncultured Glomeromycotina. RNAcentral's name for it is "SSU rRNA". It matches the Rfam family "Eukaryotic small subunit ribosomal RNA", at positions 548 to 1114 of the family's 1831-position model. Lineage: Eukaryota; Fungi; Glomeromycota. The record is from RNAcentral.
UUGGAGGGCAAGUCUGGUGCCAGCAGCCGCGGUAAUUCCAGCUCCAAUAGCGUAUAUUAAAGUUGUUGCAGUUAAAAAGCUUGUAGUUGAACUUCGGGGUUUACCCAUUGGUCAGGCUUUAUUGUCUGCACUGGUGAGAUGAAUCUCUACCUUCUGAGGAACUUUCAUGCCAUUUAUUUGGUGUGAUGGGAAACCAGGACUGUUACUUUGAAAAAAUUAGAGUGUUUAAAGCAGGCUAACGUCUGAAUACAUUAGCAUGGAAUAAUGAAAUAGGACGGACUGAUUCUAUUUCGUUGGUUUCUAGGAUCACCGUAAUGAUUAAUAGGGAUAGUUGGGGGCAUUAGUAUUCAAUUGUCAGAGGUGAAAUUCUUGGAUUUAUUGAAGACUAACUACUGCGAAAGCAUUUGCCAAGGAUGUUUUCAUUAAUCAAGAACGAAAGUUAGGGGAUCGAAGACGAUCAGAUACCGUCGUAGUCUUAACCAUAAACUAUGCCGACUAGGGAUCGGAUGAUGUUAAUUUUUUAAUGACUCAUUCGGCGCCUUACGGGAAACCAAAGUGUUUGGGUUC